RNAcentral lists this ribosomal RNA (472 nucleotides) under uncultured bacterium. RNAcentral's name for it is "bacterial SSU rRNA". It matches the Rfam family "Bacterial small subunit ribosomal RNA", at positions 355 to 825 of the family's 1533-position model. The record is from RNAcentral.
UGGGGAAUAUUGGACAAUGGGCGAAAGCCUGAUCCAGCCAUGCCGCGUGUGUGAAGAAGGUCUUCGGAUUGUAAAGCACUUUAAGUUGGGAGGAAGGGCACUUACCUAAUACGUAUCUGUUUUGACGUUACCGACAGAAUAAGCACCGGCUAACUCUGUGCCAGCAGCCGCGGUAAUACAGAGGGUGCAAGCGUUAAUCGGAAUUACUGGGCGUAAAGCGCGCGUAGGUGGUUUGUUAAGUUGGAUGUGAAAUCCCCGGGCUCAACCUGGGAACUGCAUUCAAAACUGACAAGCUAGAGUAUGGUAGAGGGUGGUGGAAUUUCCUGUGUAGCGGUGAAAUGCGUAGAUAUAGGAAGGAACACCAGUGGCGAAGGCGACCACCUGGACUGAUACUGACACUGAGGUGCGAAAGCGUGGGGAGCAAACAGGAUUAGAUACCCUAGUAGUCCCUGAGCGGGCUGGCAAGGCGCAU